Molecule: non-coding RNA, 22 nt
Filed under: Arabidopsis thaliana (thale cress)
Lineage: Eukaryota; Viridiplantae; Streptophyta; Magnoliopsida; Brassicales; Brassicaceae
Source: RNAcentral
CUAUUUCAGAAUCACCAGUUGC